GAAAUGCGAUACGUAGUGUGAAUUGCAGAAUUCAGUGAAUCAUCGAAUCUUUGAACGCACAUUGCGCCCUUUGGUAUUCCAAAGGGCAUGCCUGUUUGAGCGUCAUUUGUACCCUCAAGCUUUGCUUGGUGUUGGGCGUUUUUUGUCUUUGGCUCGCCCAAAGACUCGCCUUAAAACGAUUGGCAGCCGGCCUACUGGUUUCGCAGCGCAGCACAUUUUUGCGCUUGCAAUCAGCAAAAGAGGACGGCAAUCCAUCAAGACUCCUUCUCACGUUUGACCUCGGAUCAGGUAGGGAUACCCGCUGAACUUAAGC
RNAcentral lists this unclassified non-coding RNA (313 nucleotides) under plant metagenome. RNAcentral's name for it is "partial contains 5.8S ribosomal RNA, internal transcribed spacer 2, and large subunit ribosomal RNA". The stretch from base 1 to 105 matches the Rfam family "5.8S ribosomal RNA", at positions 50 to 154 of the family's 154-position model. The record is from RNAcentral.